UGGGGAAUUUUGGACAAUGGGCGCAAGCCUGAUCCAGCCAUGCCGCGUGAGUGAAGAAGGCCUUCGGGUUGUAAAGCUCUUUCGGCGGGGACGAAACGGUCCGUGACAACACCACGGACUAAUGACAGUACUCGCAGAAGAAGCACCGGCUAACUACGUGCCAGCAGCCGCGGUAAUACGUAGGGUGCAGGCGUUAAUCGGAAUUACUGGGCGUAAAGCGUGCGCAGGCGGCUCCUUAAGUCAGAUGUGAAAUCCCCGGGCUUAACCUGGGAACUGCGUUUGAAACUGAGGGGCUAGAGUGUGGAAGAGGGGGGUGGAAUUCCAGGUGUAGCAGUGAAAUGCGUAGAGAUCUGGAGGAACACCAGUGGCGAAGGCGACACGCUGGGCCGCACCUGACGCUAAGACGCGACAGCAUGGGGAGCGAACAGGAUUAGAUACCCCUGUAGUCCCUGAGCGGGCUGGCAAGGCGCAU
This 472-nucleotide ribosomal RNA is filed under the name uncultured bacterium. RNAcentral's name for it is "bacterial SSU rRNA". It matches the Rfam family "Bacterial small subunit ribosomal RNA", at positions 355 to 825 of the family's 1533-position model. The record is from RNAcentral.